This 491-nucleotide ribosomal RNA is filed under the name uncultured bacterium. RNAcentral's name for it is "partial 16S ribosomal RNA". It matches the Rfam family "Bacterial small subunit ribosomal RNA", at positions 30 to 507 of the family's 1533-position model. The record is from RNAcentral.
CGACCGCUGGCGGCGCGUCUUAAACAUGCAAGUCGAACGGCAGGAAGGGGCUUGCCCCUUCUGAGAGUGGCGGACUGGUGAGUAACACGUGGGUGACAUACCUUUUAGUUGGGGAUAGCUAUUAGAAAUAGUAGGUAAUACCGAAUGUGACCGUACCUGUUAGAGGGGUACGAGGAAAGGAGCUAAGGCUUCGCUAAAAGAAUGGCUCGCGGCCCAUUAUGCUCGUUGGUGAGGUAACGGCCCACCAAGGCGAUGAUGGGUAUCCGGCCUGAGAGGGUGAACGGACACAUUGGGACUGAGAUACGGCCCAGACCUCUACGGGAGGCAGCAGUUAAGAAUAUUCCGCAAUGGACGAAAGUCUGACGGAGCGACGCCGCGUGGAUGAAGAAUGCCGAAAGGUUGUAAAAUCCUUUUAAGCCUGAUGAAUAAGCACAGUAGGGAAUGAUUGUGCGGUGACCGUAGGGCUUGAAUAAGCACCGGCUAAUUACGUG